Molecule: long non-coding RNA, 1707 nt
Organism: Mesocricetus auratus (golden hamster)
Lineage: Eukaryota; Metazoa; Chordata; Mammalia; Rodentia; Cricetidae
Exons: 3
Source: RefSeq, a predicted model, not a curated record
UUUGAGCGCCGCGCGCGCCUCUCCUAGCUCAGCUCUCCCUGUCCCCUGGUGGCCCGCCCCCUCCGGCUCCCGCCAACUUCAGGGGCCUCGGCCUGGGGCCCCUCGGAUCACGAGAGGCGGAGGCGAGGGAGCGGACAGAAGAGAGCGCGCACGUCCAUGCGGCACUCACCCAUCUUCAAAGCAGCUUCUUUCUCUGCAGAGGAGGGCUACUGCCCACAGCUGGACAGAGUGCCGAGAACAGGGACGCAGGCCCAGAUAAAACAGCUACAACACAAUACCUGCACUUAGAACUCUUGGAACAUUGCAGAAGAGGAGCCAGAAGACCAGAAUAGUGUCUUCUCAACAUGACAGGGAAGCUACACCCAUGAAGUCUCAACAGUGGGAUUGCCUAAGCAAGAUCUGCAUAACGACAACACCCAAGCACAUAAAGUAAAACUAAAGGACCACCACACUGCUCUCGUGUCUCCCUCCUGUGUACGUGCUCCGAGGUAUGACCAACUGCUGGGGCCUUUGCCCCUCUGUAUCUGCCUGCUCCUGCUGCUCCUGGCCCGGAGCUGAAGACAGCUUGCUUCCCAAGACUCCUGCUAGGUCUUUCAGAACUCCACAGACCUCGGACUCCCCGGCUUCUGCUUCCAGGAAUGCCCUCACUCCAAGUUCAGAGAAAACAGAAGUCUUUAGAAGAAACUUCCCUGGCUUCCUGCUUCUACAGUAACACCCUUCCUUCCGCCGAUGGAGCCGUUUUCCUACCUAUCCUGGGCAUCACGGCCGCAGCCCUCUUUCUAUUAGGCUUCUCAAUGCUAAUGAUCCCCUCUCCCCCAAGCCGGACUCUCUUGAGCUUACUAGUCUUUUUAUUCUAAUCAUUUGGGGUGGAUUUGUCCCCAUGCGUGACAGGGUCAGAGGACAGUUUUGGAAGCUAGUGCUUGUCCCUGUACCUUAUAGGCUCUGUGGGUCAGACCCACCAGUCCUCAAGCUGCUUCAAGAGACUUUACCCACUAAGUCAUCUUGUUGGCUUCUGUUGUUUGAGACAAGGCCUCAAUGUAGCCUGAGGCUGGCUGGAAACUCACCACAGAAAUGGUGUUGUGUAGAUCAGGCUGGUUUUGAACUCACAGAUAUCCUUGGAAUCUGCCCCUGGAUUGUUGGGGUUAAAGAAAGGGUGAGCAGCCUUCCUGGCCUCUUGUGUUUCAGGCUGACCUUGACCUCAUCAUGCAGAGGAGGCUCACGUGGAAUUCCUGAUCUUCUUGUCUCGGUCUCCCGAUUGCUGGGAUUACAGGUGUACACUUCUUUUUUGUUGUUGUUGUUUUUGUUUUUUGGUUUCUUUUUUGAGACAAGGUUUCUCUAUAUUGUUUUGGAGGCUGUCUGUAGGCCAGGCUGGCCUGGAACUCACAGAGAUCCGUACAGGCGUACACUUCUGCACCAGGCUGGGUUUUUGGUUUUUGGAACAGUCUUGCUGUGAAGCUCUGGCUGGUCUCAAACUUUCAGAUGUCCUCUGCUUCUUCCUCCAUAGUGCUGAGUCAUCAUGCCCAACUCUCUUUGGUUUUGAUUUUGAGAUAAGCAUCACGUAGCCCAGGCUGGCUCUGAACUCUUGGUCUUCCUGCCUCUUUAAAUGUGCCCCUCUAGACAACUUGCACGUUCAUUUUCCUUCUCUGUCAGCUAAUGGGGUCCAUCUCCUCAUGUUAAUCAACCAUUAAAUACUUUAAUUUUAUGAAA